This 1713-nucleotide ribosomal RNA is filed under the name Proteus mirabilis. RNAcentral describes it as "partial 23S ribosomal RNA". It matches the Rfam family "Bacterial large subunit ribosomal RNA", at positions 1167 to 2859 of the family's 2925-position model. Lineage: Bacteria; Pseudomonadati; Pseudomonadota; Gammaproteobacteria; Enterobacterales; Morganellaceae. The record is from RNAcentral.
AAGAUGUAACGGUGCUAAACCAUGCACCGAAGCUGCGGCAGCGAGACUAUGUGUUGUUGGGUAGGGGAGCGGUCUGUAAGCCUGCGAAGGUGUACUGUGAGGUAUGCUGGAGGUAUCAGAAGUGCGAAUGCUGACAUAAGUAACGAUAAUGCGGGUGAAAAACCCGCACGCCGGAAGACCAAGGGUUCCUGUCCAACGUUAAUCGGGGCAGGGUGAGUCGACCCCUAAGGCGAGGCUGAAAAGCGUAGUCGAUGGGAAACGGGUUAAUAUUCCCGUACUGGUGGUAACUGCGAUGGGGGAACGGAGAAGGCUAGGUUGUCCGGGCGACGGUCGUCCCGGUUCAAGCAGGUAGGCAGAGUGAUUAGGCAAAUCCGGUCACUUAAUGCUGAGAUGUGAUGACGAACCACCAAGGUGGUGAAGCAAUUGAUGCCCCGCUUCCAGGAAAAGCCUCUAAGCUUCAGGUUACCAACAAUCGUACCCCAAACCGACACAGGUGGUCAGGUAGAGAAUACUCAGGCGCUUGAGAGAACUCGGGUGAAGGAACUAGGCAAAAUGGUGCCGUAACUUCGGGAGAAGGCACGCUGGCGGUAGGUAAAGUCCCUUGCGGACGGCGCUGAAGCCAGUCGAAGAUACCAGCUGGCUGCAACUGUUUAUUAAAAACACAGCACUGUGCAAACACGAAAGUGGACGUAUACGGUGUGACGCCUGCCCGGUGCUGGAAGGUUAAUUGAUGGGGUCAGCCGUAAGGCGAAGCUCCUGAUCGAAGCCCCAGUAAACGGCGGCCGUAACUAUAACGGUCCUAAGGUAGCGAAAUUCCUUGUCGGGUAAGUUCCGACCUGCACGAAUGGCGUAAUGAUGGCCAGGCUGUCUCCACCCGAGACUCAGUGAAAUUGAACUCGCUGUGAAGAUGCAGUGUACCCGCGGCAAGACGGAAAGACCCCGUGAACCUUUACUAUAGCUUGACACUGAACAUUGAGCCUUGAUGUGUAGGAUAGGUGGGAGGCUUUGAAGUGUGGACGCCAGUCUGCAUGGAGCCAACCUUGAAAUACCACCCUUUAACGUUUGAUGUUCUAACCUAGGCCCAUAAACUGGGUCGGGGACCGUGUCUGGUGGGUAGUUUGACUGGGGCGGUCUCCUCCUAAAGAGUAACGGAGGAGCACGAAGGUUGGCUAAGCAUGGUCGGACAUCAUGCGGUUAGUGCAAAGGCAUAAGCCAGCUUGACUGCGAGAGUGACGGCUCGAGCAGGUACGAAAGUAGGUCUUAGUGAUCCGGUGGUUCUGAAUGGAAGGGCCAUCGCUCAACGGAUAAAAGGUACUCCGGGGAUAACAGGCUGAUACCGCCCAAGAGUUCAUAUCGACGGCGGUGUUUGGCACCUCGAUGUCGGCUCAUCACAUCCUGGGGCUGAAGUAGGUCCCAAGGGUAUGGCUGUUCGCCAUUUAAAGUGGUACGCGAGCUGGGUUUAGAACGUCGUGAGACAGUUCGGUCCCUAUCUGCCGUGGGCGUUGGAAGAUUGAGAGGGGUUGCUCCUAGUACGAGAGGACCGGAGUGAACGCACCACUGGUGUUCGGGUUGUCAUGCCAAUGGCAUUGCCCGGUAGCUAAGUGCGGAAGAGAUAACCGCUGAAAGCAUCUAAGCGGGAAACUUGCCUCGAGAUGAGUCUUCCCUGACGCUUUAAGCGACCUAAAGCAACGUUUAAGACUAAGACGUUCAUAG